AACGAACGCUGGCGGCAUGCCUAACACAUGCAAGGCGAACGAGACCUUCGGGUCUAGUGGCGCACUGGUGCGUAACGCGUGGGAACCUGCCCUUAGGUUCGGAAUAACUCCCCGAUAGGGGUGCUAAUACCGGAGAAUGUCUUCGGACCAAAGAUUUAGCGCUGUUGGAUGGGCCUGCGUUCGAUAAGCUAGGUGGUAGUGUAAAAGCCUACCAAGGGGACGAUCGAUAGCUGGUCUGAGAGGAUGAUAAGACACACUGGGACUGAGACACGGCGCAGACGGCAAGACGACAGCGCAGUAGGAAUUACACGAUAAUGGGAGAUAGCGUAUACCAGCACUGUCACGUGAGUAAUGAAGGAAUCAGCGUUGUCAAGCACUUUUCCCCGGGACGAUAAUGACAAUAACGGAAGAAUAAAAUCAGGCUAACCCCGUG
This 433-nucleotide ribosomal RNA is filed under the name uncultured bacterium. Its description in RNAcentral is "partial 16S ribosomal RNA". It matches the Rfam family "Bacterial small subunit ribosomal RNA", at positions 29 to 507 of the family's 1533-position model. The record is from RNAcentral.